GGAACCUGCGGAGGGAUCAUUA
RNAcentral lists this ribosomal RNA (22 nucleotides) under Fusarium oxysporum. RNAcentral's name for it is "partial 18S ribosomal RNA". The record is from RNAcentral. Lineage: Eukaryota; Fungi; Ascomycota; Sordariomycetes; Hypocreales; Nectriaceae.